UCAAACUUAGUGGCGCACGGGUGCGUAACGCGUAUGCAACCUACCUUCAACUGGGGAAUAGCCCCUCGAAAGAGGGAUUAAUACCCCAUAGUAAUUAGAUAAGGCAUCUUAUUUAGUUUAAAGUUCCGGCGGUUGAAGAUGGGCAUGCGUGACAUUAGCUAGUUGGUGAGGUAAUGGCUCACCAAGGCUACGAUGUCUAGGGGUUCUGAGAGGAUGAUCCCCCCCACUGGUACUGAGACACGGACCAGACUCCUACGGGAGGCAGCAGUAAGGAAUAUUGGUCAAUGGACGCAAGUCUGAACCAGCUAUGCCGCGUGAAGGAUGACGGCCCUAUGGGUUGUAAACUUCUUUUGUACGGGAAUAAACCCUUCUACGUGUAGAAGGCUGAAUGUACCGUAAGAAUAAGGAUCGGCUAACUCCGUGCCAGCAGCCGCGGUAAUACGGAGGAUCCAAGCGUUAUCCGGAUUCAUUGGGUUUAAAGGGUGCGUAGGCGGAUUUGUAAGUCAGUGGUGAAAGCCUGCAGCUCAACUGCAGAACUGCCAUUGAUACUGCAAGUCUUGAGUACACUUGACGUGGGCGGAAUGUGUCAUGUAGCGGUGAAAUGCUUAGAUAUGACACAGAACACCGAUUGCGAAGGCAGCUCACGAAAUUGUAACUGACGCUGAGGCACGACAGCGUGGGGAUCAAACAGGAUUAGAUACCCUGGUAGUCCACGCCGUAAACUAUGAAUACUCGAUGUUGGCGAUAUACUGUCAGCGUCUAAGCUAAAGCAUUAAGUAUUCCACCUGGGGAGUACGGUCGCA
This 803-nucleotide ribosomal RNA is filed under the name uncultured Bacteroidota bacterium. RNAcentral describes it as "bacterial SSU rRNA". It matches the Rfam family "Bacterial small subunit ribosomal RNA", at positions 86 to 890 of the family's 1533-position model. The record is from RNAcentral. Lineage: Bacteria; Pseudomonadati; Bacteroidota.